CAGUAGCCACGGUAAUACGUAGGUGGUAAGCGUUGUCCGGAAUUAUUGGGCGUAAAGGGCUCGCAGGCGGUUUCUUAAGUCUGAUGUGAAAGCCCCCGGCUCAACCGGGGAGGGUCAUUGGAAACUGGGAAACUUGAGUGCAGAAGAGGAGAGUGGAAUUCCACGUGUAGCGGUGAAAUGCGUAGAGAUGUGGAGGAACACCAGUGGCGAAGGCGACUCUCUGGUCUGUAACUGACGCUGAGGAGCGAAAGCGUGGGGAGCGAACAGGAUUAGAUACCCGGGUAGUCCCUGUCUCUUAUAC
This 301-nucleotide ribosomal RNA is filed under the name uncultured bacterium. Its description in RNAcentral is "partial 16S ribosomal RNA". It matches the Rfam family "Bacterial small subunit ribosomal RNA", at positions 509 to 807 of the family's 1533-position model. The record is from RNAcentral.